This 892-nucleotide ribosomal RNA is filed under the name Callopora lineata. RNAcentral describes it as "partial 16S ribosomal RNA". It matches the Rfam family "Bacterial large subunit ribosomal RNA", at positions 602 to 2490 of the family's 2925-position model. The record is from RNAcentral. Lineage: Eukaryota; Metazoa; Bryozoa; Gymnolaemata; Cheilostomatida; Calloporidae.
USKWCCYUGUGUAUSAUGGGCUACCUAUAUUCAAUUUUAUCAACUAACCCGAAAGCGGAAGUGAGCUACCCUUACCCAGCUUAGAGCCCAAACUAAAAUGUUUAAAAUUUUAUGAAGAGGGUAAGGUAGAGAUUAUAUGUCAUUCGCACCUGCAGAUAGCUGGUUACUCUUGAAAUGUGUUUUAGCACACCACCCAGUAUGGUGGAUACUAGUCCUGGGAUAAGCUAGAGUUAGUAUAAGAUUUAUAUUUUAAUAAUAUAUUAAUUUACCUAGGGUUAAGAACAGCCAGGGGUAGGAGUCCCUCAUAAGACAGAUGAAUAAACUAUAUAAUUAUAUAACCGUAAUCCAAAGUUUAAAGAGUUAGAAUAGUCUAACAGACCCACAUUCUCGACAAUGUUAGCAUAAGUAUAAGUAUAAUAGUACUUCGUACUGUAUUCUCAAAAUAAGCAAAGGAACUCGGCAAAUAGAGCAACGGCUGUUUAACAAAAACAUAGCUUCUAGAAAUUAUUAGAAGUGCUGUGUGCCCGGUGAUUGUAAAAAUUUAACGGCCGCGUUUUCGUGYUAAGGUAGMGUAAUAAUUUGCCUUUUUAUUGGAGGCGAGUAUGAAUGGAUUAACGAAGAUCAACUGUCUCUACAUAUUGCAUAAAAAUUAAUAUCCAGGUGAAAAAGCCYUGAUCYUUUUGGAGGACGAAAAGACCCYAUAGAGUUUGUAGUGUAGCAGCAAUUUUAUAGUAUAGAUCAGAUAUUGUAGUAUAGGUGAACUUACUGUACACUUUUAUUGGGGCAAUAUUAGAACAAUAAAAACUYUAUCAAAAAAUAUUUUACAAUUGUAAAUUUAAGAUCCUCAAAGAGAAUAAAGAAAAACUACCUUAGGGAUAACAGCGUAAUUUCC